ACGUAGGAGGCGAGCGUUAUCCGGAUUCACUGGGCGUAAAGCGCGUGCAGGCGGUUCGGUAAGUUGGGCGUGAAAUCUCCCGGCUCAACUGGGAGAGGUCGUCCAAUACUACCGAACUUGAGAGCGAUAGAGGAAAAUGGAAUUCCCGGUGUAGUGGUGAAAUGCGUAGAUAUCGGGAGGAACACCAGUGGCGAAAGCGAUUUUCUGGAUCGUUUCUGACGCUCAGACGCGAAAGCUAGGGUAGCAAACGGGAUUAGAGACCCCGGUAGUCCUAGCUGUAAACGAUGUGAACUUGGCGUUGGUGGCUUAAACUCCAUCAGUGCCGAAGCUAACGCGAUAAGUUCACCGCCUGGGGACUACGGCCGCAAGGUUA
RNAcentral lists this ribosomal RNA (373 nucleotides) under uncultured bacterium. RNAcentral's name for it is "bacterial SSU rRNA". It matches the Rfam family "Bacterial small subunit ribosomal RNA", at positions 525 to 896 of the family's 1533-position model. The record is from RNAcentral.